CCUACGGGGGGCAGCAGUGGGGAAUAUUGGACAAUGGGGGGAACCCUGAUCCAGCCAUGCCGCGUGUGUGAAGAAGGCCCUCGGGUUGUAAAGCACUUUCAGUGAGGAAGAACGCCUGGUGGUUAAUACCCAUCAGGAAAGACAUCACUCACAGAAGAAGCACCGGCUAACUCCGUGCCAGCAGCCGCGGUAAUACGGAGGGUGCGAGCGUUAAUCGGAAUUACUGGGCGUAAAGCGCGCGUAGGUGGCUUGAUAAGCCGGUUGUGAAAGCCCCGGGCUCAACCUGGGAACGGCAUCCGGAACUGUCAAGCUAGAGUGCAGGAGAGGAAGGUAGAAUUCCCGGUGUAGCGGUGAAAUGCGUAGAGAUCGGGAGGAAUACCGGUGGCGAAGGCGGCCUUCUGGACUGACACUGACACUGAGGUGCGAAAGCGUGGGUAGCAAACAGGAUUAGAUACCCUUGUAGUC
Molecule: ribosomal RNA, 465 nt
Filed under: Vreelandella stevensii
Lineage: Bacteria; Pseudomonadati; Pseudomonadota; Gammaproteobacteria; Oceanospirillales; Halomonadaceae
Description: partial 16S ribosomal RNA
Rfam family: Bacterial small subunit ribosomal RNA
Source: RNAcentral